Struthio camelus australis is the source of this 4825-nucleotide non-coding RNA. The record is from RefSeq and is a predicted model, not a curated record. NCBI's taxonomy places the organism in Eukaryota, Metazoa, Chordata, Aves, Struthioniformes, Struthionidae.
AUUUUUUUUUCAGCUUUUCUCUCCAUUUUGCCCUUUGUGCCGUUCUAUAGCCUACCUGAAGGAGAAGAAGAGCUUCUAGUAAAUAGAAGAAUUGCAAAGUUUUGUAUUUUCCAGAACACCUAUAUGAAAUGGCUUUUGCUUCAGAAAGUUUAGCAUGAAGAAAGCCAAUUUUAAAAGGUAGGGAGAUGAAAUUCAAACUGUUUACUUAGCUAUGGGUACCCUUUUUCUAAGCUGAACUACUUCAGGCAUUUUCAGUCUGGAUACAGAAAAAAAAGCAAGCUGAAAAAUUGACUCCACCUGAAAGCAAUUCUCUCCUCCUUACCUUUUGACUGGUGACAGCAGAGAAAAUAAAAUCUGGAACUGCUUCAGGGACUUGGCCUUUCAACAGAGACUUGCAUACCAGAGAAGGACAGAGCCACCUUGACUUCUAAUCCAUGUGUCUUGUAUGAACAGGGAUAGCAGCUAUAGAAAUGUAUAUGAAGGAGAAGAGAAAGGGGAGGAAGUUGAAGUGGAACAGCUGUUGUGUAUAGAACCAAAAAGAAGAGCAACAAAGGGAUCUAAGGAAGGAGGGACAAAAAAAGCUCUCUCUUGUGGACACGCCAUAGGGAAUGCAUGUUUAUAACAAAAGAGACCAAUACUCUACCAUUCUCUAAAAGUGAAAGGGUUUCUCAGAGAACAAAGUGUCUUUGUCAGGAAACUGUCACAGACUUUGAAAAACUGAUUCAGAUCACAAAGCACCAAAGAAAGCUAUGAGUGAGCAACAGAGAACUGGGAGGAUCCAGCACGAGAGAGGAACCAGAAGACCUGCUGCAGAUGGAGCAGAGGACAGAAAGAAGCAGAGGACAGUGCCCUGAAGACACCACACCAUCAGAGGUGCAGAGUGAAAUGCCCCCAAACCGUCUCCUUCACUUCUUUUGCACAAUUGUGCAAAAUAUAUUCACUCUUUGUGCUACCAUGCCCAUUUUCUAGGGCAGGAAACAAUAUAGUCAGUGUCUUUAACAACUGUGCACUAGACAAGUGGAGAAAAAAGGAUGGUGGUAAACCUUUGAGUAAACCUGCCUUCAAAAGCAGGUUUCACUCCACUCACAUUCCUACAUUUUUUGAAUUCGAGGAAAAUAUUGUUCAAUAAUUUUCAUUGUUUUCAACCAAUUCACAAAAAACUUUUUUAGCACAAACCCCUUUGUUACUUUUCGAAAGUUUAAUAUGAUAACAAAAUUUUUUGAAUAUUGUUUUCUUCAGACUAUUACACAGUUCUGUAUUUAUUUUUCAUGGAAUAAUUGAGCUUCAUUCAUUUUACUUGCUUUUUCGCACUCAAUUUUUUUUGGACAGGUACAAAAUGCAUGCACUGUGUAAUGGUAUGUAUUAAACCAUUACCCAGGUUUUCCUCUCAAGGAGGAAAUAGUGUUUCAUAUAUGAUUAAUAUUUAUAAUUCAGGCUGAACAAAUAAUAAAAACAUUUUUUAAAGCACACCACUAAAGUGAUCUUUUAAAGCAUAUCUUAGUCUAACAGCUUGACAGCUGACUAAUAAAUGCCCUUCCUCAAGAUCAGCCUGUCACCAUCCAACUGUCAUCUUCCUGACAAAGCACUCCUCUAAAGACACUGCAGCAUGCAGAAAUGCUGAGAGUAUUGGACCUGAUGAGAUCUAGACGACCAUGAGGCCUUGCCCAAAGAACAGUGAGUAGUGAUGUUACUGCAUUUGCUCAGAGAGUAUUUGGUGCUUUCCUUGCUGUUGCUCCUGUGAUCACCAUCCAAGGUUCAGAUUUAUUGGUAUUUUUGUUCUAGCAGUGUGAAUGCAUGAACCAGGAAAGACUUUUUUUCUUAGAAAACUCUUAAAGACAUGAGUGCCAUUCAUCUUUCCAAACCAGCCAUUGGUAUUAUCACUGUAAUAUUUCUGGUUUCUUGACAGUGCUUGCAGAAAUAUGGAGUAGUUGCUUUCUGUAUUUAUGUGCUCAGCGGCAAAUGGGAAAGGGAUGGAAAUGUGAUAAGCACCCUGUACAGGCAGGCCAUUGUGCCUAGCUCAUCACUGAGGCUCAGUCCUGCUCACAUGGAGCGAUGUGUCAUGGUUAGAUGGUGACUGCUUGCACUACGGAUUUUUCAGCCUGAGACUUAUUGCUUAAUACAUGAUUACAAACUAGUGUUUUGAAUUUCCAGACUGUGUAGCCACCGCUCGAUUUUUUGCUGUCAAAGAUCUCAUUUUGGUGAGUUACACGAGUGCACUAUAGCCAACUGAAAACAGCUCUGGGAGUGUGUGGGUUUUUUUCUUUAGUUGGAAUUCUUCCAGUUACUCUUAACAAUCCCACUUUUACACCCUACCCUCCUCUGAGUGACCAUUUCUUGGCUUGGAGGUACGACCCUUGAAGAGCAGCUGGCCAGGUAUGCUAACCAGUGCCCACCGUGUCUGCACAGUGGCUCUUUCAACCACUUUUUUUCUUAAAAAGACUUGUGUCCUGUCCAUCACACUUCCAGCUGCUGAAAUCAGGGCUAUCUUUUCAUUUGCAUGAAUAGAAAAAAAGUUGUGUCUAAAACAUACCUAGGACCUCCACUGGAGCCAUGCUGAUGGUGAGCAGAGGAAAACUGUAGGGGACCAUGGUUUUUAAAACCCCUAAAUGCUAGGAGGCCAGAAAAUAUUACCGGGUCAGAGAAAAAAACAAAGAGGAUUUGGAGCAAGAUCUGCUUUGAAAGCAGGUGGCAGACAUACCCGUUGCAAAACUCAGUGGCAAAGAAACUGGCAUAUAGGGCAUGGAGAGUUUUAUUGACAGGGCAUUGUAGUAUCAGAAUUAAAACCACGGUGUGUGUACCUGACUGCUUAUGCUGGUAACAUAUGCAAGAAUAUCAGCAUAAAAGCCAGGUGUGCACUGACCCCCAGAGAAAUACAUGUAAGGUAGGCAAUUCGAGGUGUCAAAUCUUGCUGGUGUAGGUCGAGGCUUAGGCAGAGGAGCCUAGGUGUUAUUCUUUGGGACAGCGGCAAACAUAACAAUUUUUUGGAGUAGGGAGAAUGGCAUUAGCUUUCCUUCUGACAGUUUCUUUAGAGCACAUACACUAUCAUCUGAUGCGUAUUGCUGUGUUUGUUUAGAAAUGCAAAGCACUUCUCCACAAGAGUCUUCUCAAGUAGAGGCGGUUCUGCAGGGUCAAGAGAAGCAAAGUCUGAGGAAAUUCUUCAAUCUUGCCCCUACCUUUCUUCCUUCUAGCAGGAUUAUGACAUACUGCAGAUCUGUGCUAGACACCACUGCCUUCAUGGCUCUGAAAUACACUAGUUGACUUUUAAAAUUAGAAAAAAAACCCUAUCAUCUGUUUUACAAUGGCUAUCAGUAAGGGUAGGGAGAGCAGAUGACUGGCCGACAUCCUUUGAAAGUAAACAGUGAGACAGUUUGCUUCCUAAAUUACAUUGCGGAACCCUUGCUCCUCACCAUUACACACUGCAAUUUUGCUAUGCCUAAUCCCUGUAUGCUAUUUGUACUCCUUUCUCUGUUUCUUUCAUAGUAAGAUUAUGGCUUUCAGAAAAAACAAAAACAAAAACGAAAUAAUACUGAAUCUAUAUACAUGACAGAUUUUUUAUUUUUUUUCUCAAGUUGCAUGGCCAUUUCGUAUCUUCCUCUGCUUACCCUCCUCUUUUGGCACAAUCAACAGCGGAGUAAAAAGGAAGCUUUAGAGAUUGCUAAACUAAGAGCCUGUGUUUCAUAGUCCCUGGUGUGCAAUCAAAGCUGGAAACCAGAGGUGUGCUGCCAGCUACACCACUCAUUUCUCGCUGCAUGCCUCAAGCAAAAGCUGCUCUGAAUGUGUAUGGCAACAACCGAGGCAGCAGUGAGGAGAGGCAUAAACCAGAGACAGAGAAAUGUCUUUCUUCAGUCAGGAAGUGGCAGAACUUUUCAUCAAUUAAGGUUUCAUAGCAUUCAUACAUAGACUGGCUCCUAUAUGAGAAUUACUGGGGACUGGAUGCUAAGCAUCUUUCCCCUGGAUUGAAAGAGCUCAGAUCUAGGUCAGGUCUGUGCAGGCCAAAAUCUGUCAUUAUUUAGUAGCUGUCCAGUGGUCUGUGUAAAAUAAAUUGGUAGAUUCAUUUAGCUUUUGGAAAAAAGUUACCAGGUUAUAUAAAACACUAUCAAAAGAGAGCAUUUUCUGGUAGUCUAAGGAGAAAGACCAAAGGUUAAGGUAAAACAAACAGCAUAUUCUUUUAAAAAAAGAAAAGUAAUCAGAAUUUGGAAAGGAAUCUUUAAUUUUAAAAUGUAAAUUACAGACUAUUAUUCCUGAUUGAACUUCUCUUUAUUUAGAAAUUGUCUGAUUUGGAUACUAAAGUCUUAUGAGAAUUUUUAAGAAUGAAUAUAUUAUUUUGAGGUAUUAUAAUGGGACUUCUUGACUCACCAUUUUUGUUGAUAGUUUGUUUUGGGUUAUGCACUGUUUGUAAAAAAGGAUGAAUGCUCAGAGCAGAGUGCCAAAAUUGGAAGCUGAACGAGAGUCCUGAGCCUGGAGUUUCUGUCAGUUUGGACAGAAUUAAGUAUAUUUCGCUGGAUAUUACAGAAAAGGAAAAAGCUAAUAUAACAUUCUUGAGAGAAAGAUAGCUCAGACUUCUGUUAUUGAAAGUCUGGGCCACAAGUUCUGUAUUCAGACGCCAACUGCCUAGCAAGGAGAUACUGUGUUCAACGAGGAGACAGGUUCAGAAAAUAACAUUGCAAGGACAAAGGCUUACAUUUCUUCCAAGAAUCAGUUAAGAAAGAGCAGUGACUCUCUAAAUCUUUUUAAACCUUUAUUUAUUUAUUUAUUUUAAUUUUUACAUUUCUAUCUUUGUCCACUUUUCCAUCCUUUUCUCCUCUUUCCCAUCUCGAGGUAAUUG